RNAcentral lists this unclassified non-coding RNA (143 nucleotides) under uncultured Helotiales. RNAcentral's name for it is "partial internal transcribed spacer 2". Lineage: Eukaryota; Fungi; Ascomycota; Leotiomycetes; Helotiales. The record is from RNAcentral.
UAACCCCUCCAGCUUGCUGGGUCUUGGGCCUCGCCUCUGGGCGGGCCUUAAAAUCAGUGGCGGCCCUACUAGGCCCUAAGCGUAGUAACUUCUCUCGCUAUAGGGUCCCGGUAGGUGCUGGCCAGCAACCCCAUCUUUCUAAU